This 439-nucleotide ribosomal RNA is filed under the name uncultured bacterium. RNAcentral describes it as "partial 16S ribosomal RNA". It matches the Rfam family "Bacterial small subunit ribosomal RNA", at positions 339 to 795 of the family's 1533-position model. The record is from RNAcentral.
CUACGGGUUGCAGCAGUGAGGAAUAUUGCACAAUGGGGGGAACCCUGAUGCAGCAACGCCGCGUGGAGGAUGACGCAUUUCGGUGUGUAAACUCCUUUUAUAUGUCAAGAAAAUGACGGUAGCAUGUGAAUAAGCACCGGCUAACUCCGUGCCAGCAGCCGCGGUAAUACGGAGGGUGCAAGCGUUACUCGGAACCACUGGGCGUAAAGGACGCGUAGGCGGGCUUGUAAGUCAGGUGUGAAAUCCUACAGCUUAACUGUAGAACUGCACUUGAAACUACGAGCCUAGAGUAUGGGAGGGGCAGAUGGAAUUAGUGGUGUAGGGGUAAAAUCCGUAGAUAUCACUAGGAAUACCUAAAGCGAAGGCGAUCUGCUGGAACAUAACUGACGCUAAGGCGUGAAAGCGUGGGGAGCAAACAGGAUUAGAUACCCUAGUAGUC